AACUCUGAUAUCAGUGUCGUCCGAGUCAUACGCAAUAACUAAAACUUUCAACAACGGAUCUCUUGGUUCCGGCAUCGAUGAAGAACGCAGCGAAAUGCGAUAAGUAAUGUGAAUUGCAGAAUUCAGUGAAUCAUCGAAUCUUUGAACGCACAUUGCGCCCCUUGGUAUUCCGAGGGGCAUACCUGUUCGAGCGUCAU
This 197-nucleotide ribosomal RNA is filed under the name Lobaria retigera. Its description in RNAcentral is "5.8S ribosomal RNA". The stretch from base 43 to 196 matches the Rfam family "5.8S ribosomal RNA". From Rfam's summary of the family: 5.8S ribosomal RNA (5.8S rRNA) is a component of the large subunit of the eukaryotic ribosome. It is transcribed by RNA polymerase I as part of the 45S precursor that also contains 18S and 28S rRNA. Lineage: Eukaryota; Fungi; Ascomycota; Lecanoromycetes; Peltigerales; Lobariaceae. RNAcentral also lists the same sequence under 1 other name. The record is from RNAcentral.